Molecule: unclassified non-coding RNA, 149 nt
Filed under: uncultured Ascomycota
Lineage: Eukaryota; Fungi; Ascomycota
Description: sequence contains ITS2
Source: RNAcentral
AAAAACCUUUCGGGCUUCGCGCCCGGUGUUGGAGCUCCGCCUAGUCCCUAGGUGGUCUCUGAAAGCUAGUGGCGUCGCUGUCAGUUGGUCUUUGCGAGGUAAAAUAAUCCGCUCAUGACCGCUGGCCGCGGCUGCCUUGUGUCUCCUGG